Molecule: unclassified non-coding RNA, 331 nt
Filed under: Hevea brasiliensis (rubber tree)
Lineage: Eukaryota; Viridiplantae; Streptophyta; Magnoliopsida; Malpighiales; Euphorbiaceae
Source: RNAcentral
UCUCUCUCUCUCUCUCUCUCAGCUGGUGACCAACUUCUGUCAUGGGCGAUUGGCAUGCAACUGGGCAGAAUGGUGGGCUGGGGUUGAGCGGGUCCUUGCUUACGCAUGGAGGAAACCCUGUGGGGACCUAAUGAUGAUGGGGCCAAGCCAAACACACAAACAUGAUUCAUCGACUCUGAUAACUUUUCAUAUUUAAUUUCUUUAUUCUGUUGUACUGCUUUUCUUGAAGGACAAAAGAGAAUGUUUUUGUAAUGAUUAGCUCACGAUGAUCCAACCAUGAUUCAAUUUGUUUAAGAGUGCAUCUUGUAGGUGUUUGUGGUUAUGCCCGUGG